Molecule: ribosomal RNA, 426 nt
Filed under: uncultured bacterium
Lineage: Bacteria
Description: bacterial LSU rRNA
Rfam family: Bacterial large subunit ribosomal RNA
Source: RNAcentral
CGUAUAGGGUGUGAUGCCUGCCCGGUGCCGGAAGGUUAAUUGAUGGGGUUAGCGAAAGCGAAGCUCUUGAUCGAAGCCCCGGUAAACGGCGGCCGUAACGAUAACGGUCCUAAGGUAGCGAAAUUCCUUGUCGGGUAAGUUCCGACCUGCACGAAUGGCAUAAUGAUGGCGGCGCUGUCUCCACCAGAGACUCAGUGAAAUCGAAAUCGCGGUGAAGAUGCCGUGUACCCGUGGCUAGACGGAAAGACCCCGUGAACCUUUACUGCAGCUUUGCACUGGACUUUGACCUUACUUGUGUAGGAUAGCUGGGAGGCUUUGAAGCGCGGACGCCAGUUCGCGUGGAGCCAAUCUUGAAAUACCAGCCUGGUAAUGUCGAGGUUCUAACCAAGGUCCGUCAUCCGGAUCUGGGACAGUGUAUGGUGGGUG